GAUAAAGUAGGGUCAUAUCUGCUUGAAUGAAAUAAUGUUAUCCCGGUCUAUUGCAGACUCCAGGAGCAGGAGCCUGCAGCACUGCAGCACCACCAGAGGGAGGCGCUUCGCUGCUGUUGUUCCCUGUGUUCCAGUGCCAGUCCCCUCCCAGAAGAGCCUCCCCUGAGCUCCCAGUCUGCCGAAGUCCAACAUCCUCCACUGUCACUGACUCUGGGCAGCAGGGGACUGGAUCCAACCCUGCUCCAGCCUCAGCCCUGCCUCAUGUCCAUACUCAGAAAGGAGAGAAGGAAACAGAGGAUGGUGUUAAAGAGAUGGGUGGGGGCCUUCCGCCCUCCAAGGCCAGACCAGGAGCCCAAUUCUGGUCCUGAGGACAUAGGCCCCUCUCUCCAGUCCCUAGUGUCUGUGAGGGUUCUCUCUGAGUUUAGCCGCCCACCAUCCAGCCGAAGCACAGACCUGGGUAGUGGCCUGAGCAGUCCUCUAUGUGGUAUUGUACCUACACUGCUUUGAAGCAAUUGAAGUGAAAUGUAUUCGAAGCUGUUGCAUUCCCCAUGGGCCAAUUAGUUGUUUCAUAAAUUUAGAAAUUCAUAAUUACUUGUUGCCAAGGCUUGCUUUCCUAUCAUGUCAAAUGGAAGCAUAAUUAUUCCAUAUAUCCUUUUAUCCUUUUACAGUGAAUCUGAGUGACCUGGACUCCGAGGGUGGCUCUCCUCUCUCCCAGCACGGCUCCUCUUCCAUGUCCCUGUCUGCUCUGGCCUCAUGCACCCCACAGGACCCCCAACACACCAGCCUCCAAACCCAGCCCCUCACCACCCUCUACACCAUCCCCUCCCUCACCAGGCCCAACUCUGCCCACCUGACUGGACCACCACGGAGCCCCAGCCAGGCCAUGUCCUCCAUCACUACCCAGACCUAGACCCAUCCCUGGAUCCCAUCCCAGACCCUACCUCCCUAGCUUUCCCCUCAGACAUCUGGCAGUCCUACCCCAGCCCACAGUGCAGGAUAACUCCCCGACCAGGGUCACGGUUAGGGUCAGGUUUGACCUCAUCUCUUGUGGUGGCGGAGAGGCAGGACUGGACAUCACACCGCUGGUCCAUCCUUCCCCCAUCUCUCCUGUCAGAGAUGGCGGUGACACAGUGUCCUCCUGGUCCCGCUGUUCUCAGGUCAGCUCUAGCCAGUCCCAUGUGUUUGAUGACCUGGAGGCCAUUGCCCCGCGGACCGGCUCCUGUCUGUCCCUAGACCACCCACUCAGCCCAGCAGACUGCAGCCCACCUGGUACAGGUACUGUACAGAGCACCCAUAUUAUGUCCAGCAGAUCGUAUAAAAUACCACUGAUGUCAUACCUGUCAAAGGUCUACGAUUACAUCAGAAACGGGCUCUAUAUUUAUGUCAUACAUAUACUGUACAUGUGCUCCUCAAACUGUAGACACUUGAAAAAGAAGAGCUUUGUUGUAUGGCCAUUGGCUUUUUACUUUGUUUCAAAGUUGGUGAAUUAACCGUUAUUUUUUUUUAGAGCAGGUGAAUGCUUAACUAGCUACUUGUGGAAUGCACUUGAUGUUAAGAGUUGUUUCUACCUGGGCAGUCCGUGGUGUUAAAAUUAAUUAGCGUUAUUUAGACAGUUAUGUCAAUGAAAAGGUCACGGCACCUGAUUUCUUUUUCCUGUUUGUGGUUGUUGUUGUUGGUGUUGUGGACAUGUUUGUCUGACCGCCGUUAAUGCCUCAAUUAGACAUGCUCUCCUUCCUCAGCCUCUCUCAUGUAAUGGACUGGGGUGUGACGGUGAUGUGUGGAUCUCAGCGCUCUGUUGUGGAACAGUGUGUACGUCUUUGUGUGUGUACAGUAAAUGUGUGUGUGUCUCCUGAGGUUGGUCAGUUCAGUGAGCUGUGAAAGGAAACAUUACCCAACGCAGACAGUGAUUUUCUCACUCACUGAGGACUUCCCCAAGCUUCUCUCAUCCCCUCUAAUCCCUGACAAGGUGUUUAGGAUGUUUAACCUGCUCGCUUGACCUGAACCUCCGUCUGACCUCCAUGACCUUUGCCCUGAGGAUGUGGCGGGAUCAUGUCAGCUACCACCACUGCUGCAGCAGCUUAAUUCCACUCUUCUGUUCUGUGUUGUAACAUCUUCCUCAACUGACAAAUAUAGACAUCUACCACCCGUAUAGAGCCUGGAAAGCAAAGAAAUGUAAAACUGUCUUCAACUGACUGACUGCUUAAACUUUGCUCCUGACUCACAGGCAUCCAUGUGUGUCUGCCCACUCUCCAGUGACCCCGGCUGAGUGGCAGUAUAGCUAGUUAACACUUUAAUCACAGGGGUAGACCUUUGUUAUCUGUAACAGUGUGUCUUUACAAUGGGUUGCAUUCUCAUGGCUAAUGAGGGGGUUAACUCCCAGCCUAACUGAAAGUGUGUCAUCACAAUGUGUUUCCCCACGGGACUUCCUUCACCGCAACUCCUUAAUCAGACAGCCAGCCAGGUUCUUUUUUUCUCACCUGAAGGGAUUUACCUGACAAACAGAAACACACCCAGAGACAAGCAACACAUUGUAGAGGCAGGAGCAUUCCCUGGGCCAUGGGUAGGCAACCCUGGUCCUAGAGGUCCGCAGGCAGGUCAUGUUUUUGAUUUAACUGACCUGGAAGACCAGGUGUGUUGAAUGUAGGCAAUCACUGAACUGAGGAAUUAGCUCCAUUGGUCAGGUGUGGUGCCUCGUUGGAACAACAUCCUGCAGUACUCCAGGAACAGGGUUGGCCUCCCCGAUCUAGGCAGAAUUAAUUUCAAGUCGCUCAAAGCCUCUAAAAGGUCAUCUCUCAAAGGGCAUACUGUAAAAAUGCAAUACUGUACUUAACUAGAAAACUAUCCAGAUGUGAUACUUUUUAUGCGCUAUAAAACACAAUGCAUUCCACUAUGGCUGCUGUGUGGCUGGCUGAGAUGGUGGGACUGAGAGUGCAUUGAGAGGAGAAGCAGGGUUGACCUGCAGCGGAGCGUGAUAUGAGGCAGCUCCAGUCCAGCGGCUGUGUGAAAUCCCCUCCCAGGAACAGCAGCUCCACACCCUGCUCUCUGCCUGGGCGGUGUGGGCCGAGGAUUUGCAUGGGCAGGGAGCCCACACUGUUACUGAUCCACUUUUAAUUGGCGGUGACAGAACUUUGGAGCCUAGGUCUGGGGGGGGGGGGUGAAGCUGGAGGGUUGUCAGUCAUAUUUGCACACACACCUCACUGAUCCAUACAGGAUUAUUUCCUCUACCUCUAUUCUGGUUCAGAGAGGCUAUCCCUGGCCUUGGCCUACACUAUCUCUGGUUAUCCAUGUCUAAUGGAGUCCCUGUGAUAACCCCCUGAAUGUAGGGAUUCAGAGAAGGUGGUCACUCUGGUCCUGACUAAUGUAUUGUUUGUUGAGUCCCGUGUAGCUCAGUUGGUAGAGCAUGGCGCUUGCAAUGCCAGGGUUGUGGGUUUGAUUCCCACAGGGGACCAGUAUGAAAAAUCUAUGCACUCACUACUCUAAGUUGCUCUGGAUAAGAGUGUCUGCUAAAUGACAUAAAAAAAUACAAAAAAUGUAAAAUAAAAAGGGGUUAGUAGAUGUACUGACUGAUCCAAAGGACUCCCAUAGUGUCACGGUCGUGAUAAUGGACAGACCAAGGCGCAGCGUGUGUUGACUUCCACAUCUUUAUUUGCAGUGAAAACUUAAACAAUAAACAUACAACGACCGUGAACUACGUGGUGCUGAAUGCACUCACACAAAACAAUAUCCCACAAACGCAGGUGAGAAAAGGACCACGUUAAAUAUGAUCCCCAAUUAGAGGCAACGAUAAUCAGCUGCCUCCAAUUGGGAACCAUACUUACACCAACAUAGAAAUAUAAUACUAGAACACCCCCUAGUCACGCCCUGACCUACUGCACCAUAGAGAACCCCAAGGGCUCUCUAUGGUCAGGGCGUGACACAUAGUCCCUUUUUAAUGCUUUAGUUCUGAUGUGUUGGAUAUGCUGUUUCACAUAAUGCUUCAGUUGUCCUGUAUACUGUAUGCCACCUCUGCAGAGAUGUCCCCAGGCUUGGCUGCUCUGACAGUGGGCUGUGACUCAGGGGACCUGGACUCCCUGUCCCGUGUGCAGCUCCUGACCAGCUCCUCACUGGCUCGCUGGUCAGGACAAGUACUCCCCAACAGAAGACAGAACAACAGACCACACGGGGGAGCUCAGAGCCAGAAGACCUCUUAGUCCAAGACUGUAUACUACAGGUAUCCCUGAUUUACAACUCAACACCCAACCCAGUCUGUGAUUUAUUUGUGAGUCAGGGAAUGUGAUUGAACUGGCACAUGUCUUUAUAUGCACACUGUGUUUGAGACAUUGUCUCAGUAAGAUUACUAGAUGUAAACUCACUCCUUCGACAGUUUCUUUUGACAGUUACAAUGAGCCAAACUAUGACCUUUGAUAGAAACAGCAAAACCGUUGAUUUCACAACAGGGAAAAUCCAGACGGAGGAGUUUUCUGUAGGAUAGGCUGGUCAGGGGAAUACCAAGCAGCGUUAUGGGUGUGUACCUGCCGGUCGUUGGCCAGCCUUGAGAGUAAUGUCUUUACAGUGUGAACCGCCUCUCAUCUGCUCCCAGGCAUGCUGCUGCAGCAUCUUAACUGAAAGGCCAUAAAGAUAUGGAGGCUCAUUUCUGGCUUUGGCAGAACGUUUUAUUGGGAUAUGAUAUGCCAUAUUAAUAAAGAUCAAUUAUCAUUAACCUGGAGACCUCAGCCCAGACACACCGACAACUAGUUAAAAAUAUAUAUUUUAACAAUGGCACAAUCUGGAUGUGAUUAUGUCUGUGCGGCAUGCGCGUAUCAGUCUGGGUGAUGCAAGAAAUGGCAUAGAAAGUUGACCAAACGUCCCGUGAAGUGGUAAAAGGAACGUAAGUGGUCGAUGAGCAAACAGUUGGAAAUAAGCACAUCAUAUUGUAGUUUUAUAGGCAAACACAAGAUGUGUAACUUGUUUUCCAUGAUAUUGACAAUACUAAUGCUCAGUGUGAUGCUUCUCCUCUGAAUUGGCAAUGGCCUUGAAUACAGUCAUUGAAUCCAACUAAAUCCUCUUCACUCGGCGACGGUUCACUGUGGCCUGCCUGGAGAUGUAGACAUUGCAGGGAGCUAGUCUGUCUGUCUGUCCUCCUAGGUGUGUCUCCAGAACAAUGUUUUCCCAUUCUGUGUUUGCACCUGGCAUGCUUCUACGAGACAGGUGCUCCUCCAUGUUUUUCCCCCCCUCUUUUUAUAUCGGUAUUUGCAGAGAGAUUAGGAGCCAUACUUUUGACUAAUACAUGGCAUUACUCAUAUCGGUGCACGCACUCAAACACAAAGGAAAACACACACGCAAGUGUGUACACCGGGCACGUUGGCACGCGCACAAACUAUCUAUCCAGUGUGUGUGUGUGUGUGUGUGUGUGUCUGUGUGUGUGUGUGUGUGUGUGUGUGUGUGUGUGUGUGUGUGUGUGUGUGUGUGUGUGUGUGUGUGUGUGUGUUGUUGUCAGGCGUCCUGCAGCCCCUCGCAGCUGUGGAGACGGCAGUGUGUCUGAGAGGUGUGUCGCCACAGGCAAAGUCCAGGGACAGGGUGACCACACAAUGGUGAGUGUCUGUAGCCCCUCCUCAAACUACCCCUCACAACAACCCCCCCUUGUAGCUUUCAUCCGUCUCCUUAAAUGACUAUUGCACAUUGUUGUUUAAACACGGACUAUACAAACACACAGACACGGACUGAGACAAAGACCUCUAUUUACAGUAUAAACUUGAACUGGCAUGAAUUUGUAACUGCCAUCCCGGAUCAAGCAGCCAAAUUGUUGUUGAUAAUUGAAACACAAUAUAAUAACAGUGAGAGAAGCGUGCUGUGCA
Molecule: transfer RNA, 5834 nt
Filed under: Salmo trutta (river trout)
Lineage: Eukaryota; Metazoa; Chordata; Actinopteri; Salmoniformes; Salmonidae
Description: lncRNA (ENSSTUG00000023099.1)
Rfam family: UnaL2 LINE 3' element (bases 3464-3517)
Source: RNAcentral